GUCUUCUAUACGCUGCUUCAUUGUAGACUUCACAUUUGAAAGAAUAAAAAAUCUGUAACUGGUAUAAAUACACACACAUAACUUUUUCACCUACAACACAUAAAUAUAGAAAAUGAAGAGAAACGUGUUGUUGAUUGCUUUGGUUCUUCUGAUUCUCUCUUUCUUGAUUUCAUCUUAUGCAGCUUCAACUCAGUCAUGCCACAACCGCAAACUUUUAAAUAUAGAAGCAUGCCCUAGUAAGUCAAGACCGGCAGGCAAACCAUGAGAACGGCAAUCUAUGGUUCGUGGUGGUUAAAUGGACCGUUUACAAAAAUAGAUACAUUUAACUUUCGCUUGAACAGAAUCCCUAUGAAUACAGUAAUCUCCAUCUAUAUGCAUUUGGGUGUCUUUUAGGCGCCAAGAUGAAAUCUUUGUAGAUCUAUCCCCCUAAUUAUUUCUAAGCUAUGACAUAUAAUUGUCUUUCGUUUCCAUCCAUCUAUUGUAUACAUCUUCUAAUAAGUGGUCUCUAAUUGUUUGUUACACUGUUAUUUCAUUAUGUAUGUUAUAUACUCUUAUGAAUAAAAGAAAUGGAAUUUCAUUG
This is a long non-coding RNA of Raphanus sativus (radish), 580 nucleotides long. RefSeq lists it as uncharacterized. The record is from RefSeq and is a predicted model, not a curated record. Lineage: Eukaryota; Viridiplantae; Streptophyta; Magnoliopsida; Brassicales; Brassicaceae. The transcript has 2 exons.